GUUGUAUGGUCAAGUAAUGAAGUGCACAUGGUGGAUGCCUUGGCAGUCAGAGGCGAUGAAAGACGUGAUAGCCUGCGAUAAGCGUCGGUGAGGUGGCAAUAUCCUGUGACCCGGCGAUUUCUGAAUGGGGAAACCCAGCCAACAUAAGUUGGCUAUCCUAACCUUUGGUUAGGAGGCAAACCGGGAGAAGUGAAACAUCUCAGUACCCCGAGGAAAAGACAUCAAUAGAGAUUCCCCAAGUAGCGGCGAGCGAACGGGGAGGAGCCGAUCAAACUUGUAGUAGCAAAAUGGCGUGGGAAAGCCAACCAUAGUAGGUGAUAGUCCUGUAUGCGAAACUGCAAAUGCGACAUAUUAAGUAGGGCGAGACACGUGAAAUCUUGUCUGAAGAUGGGGGGACCAUCCUCCAAGGCUAAAUACUCCUGACUGACCGAUAGUGAACCAGUACCGUGAGGGAAAGGCGAAAAGAACCCCUGUUAGGGGAGUGAAAUAGAACCUGAAACCGUGUGCAUACAAGCAGUCGGAGCCCNNNNNNNNNNNNNNNNNNNNNNNNNNNNNNNNNNNNNNNNNNNNNNNNNNNNNNNNNNNNNNNNNNNNNNNNNNNNNNNNNNNNNNNNNNNGGGUGACGGCGUACCUUUUGUAUAAUGGGUCAGCGACUUAUAUUCUGUAGCAAGGUUAACCGUUUAGGGGAGCCGUAGGGAAACCGAGUCUUAAUAGGGCGAUUAAGUUGCAGGGUAUAGACCCGAAACCGAGUGAUCUAUCCAUGAGCAGGUUGAAAGUGCCGUAACAGGCACCGGAGGACCGAACCCACUGUCGUUGAAAAGCCAGGGGAUGACUUGUGGAUAGGGGUGAAAGGCUAAUCAAACUCGGUGAUAGCUGGUUCUCCCCGAAAGCUAUUUAGGUAGCGCCUCGGACGAAUACCAUUGGGGGUAGAGCACUGUUUCGGCUAGGGGGUCAUCCCGACUUACCAAACCGAUGCAAACUCCGAAUACCGAUGAGUGAUAUCCGGGAGACAGACGGCGGGUGCUAACGUCCGUCGUCAAGAGGGAAACAACCCAGACCGCCAGCUAAGGCCCCAAAUUCCUAGUUAAGUGGGAAACGAUGUGGGAAGGCACAGACAGCUAGGAGGUUGGCUUAGAAGCAGCCACCCUUUAAAGAAAGCGUAAUAGCUCACUAGUCGAGUCGGCCUGCGCGGAAGAUGUAACGGGGCUCAAACUAGGAGCCGAAGCUGCGGAUUUAAUUGUUUCAAUUAAGUGGUAGGGGAGCGUUGUGUAAGCCUGUGAAGGUGUGUUGUAAAGCAUGCUGGAGGUAUCACAAGAGCGAAUGCUGACGUGAGUAACGACAAAACGGGUGAAAAGCCCGUUCGCCGGAAGACCAAGGGUUCCAGUCCAACGUUAAUCGGGGCUGGGUGAGUCGACCCCUAAGGCGAGGCCGAAAGGCGUAGUCGAUGGGAAAUCGGUUAAUAUUCCGAUACUUGUUUAUGAUGCGAUGGAGGGACGGAGAAGGUUAUGUCAGCCUGGCGUUGGUUGUCCAGGUGAAAGGAUGUAGGUAGGUUUAGUAGGCAAAUCCGCUAGACUAUUACUGAGAUCUGAUAGCAAGCCAGUUUACUGGCAAAGUGGCAAAUACCCUGCUUCCAGGAAAAGCUUCUAAGCGAUAGUCAUAAACAAAUCGUACCCGAAACCGACACAGGUGGUCAGGUAGAGAAUACCAAGGCGCUUGAGAGAACUCUGCUGAAGGAACUAGGCAAAAUGGUACCGUAACUUCGGGAGAAGGUACGCUGCCGAUGGUGAUAAGACUUGCUCUUUGAGCUGUUGGCAGUCGCAGAUACCAGGCUGCUGCAACUGUUUAUUAAAAACACAGCACUCUGCAAACACGAAAGUGGACGUAUAGGGUGUGAUGCCUGCCCGGUGCUGGAAGGUUAAUUGAUGGGGUUAGCGUAUGCGAAGCUCUUGAUCGAAGCCCCAGUAAACGGCGGCCGUAACUAUAACGGUCCUAAGGUAGCGAAAUUCCUUGUCGGGUAAGUUCCGACCUGCACGAAUGGCAUAAUGAUGGCAGCGCUGUCUCCAGCAGAGACUCAGUGAAAUCGAAAUCGCAGUGAAGAUGCUGUGUACCCGCGGCUAGACGGAAAGACCCCGUGAACCUUUACUACAGCUUUACAUUGAACUUUGACCUAACUUGUGUAGGAUAGGUGGGAGGCUUUGAAGUGGCGACGCCAGUUGCCAUGGAGCCAUCCUUGAAAUACCACCCUGGUUAUGUUGGGGUUCUAACUUAGAUGUAACAACAUCAAGGACAAUGUAUGGUGGGUAGUUUGACUGGGGCGGUCUCCUCCUAAAGAGUAACGGAGGAGUACGAAGGUGCGCUCAGAACGGUCGGAAAUCGUUCAAAGAGUAUAAAGGCAAAAGCGCGCUUAACUGCGAGACCCACAAGUCGAGCAGGUACGAAAGUAGGUCUUAGUGAUCCGGUGGUUCUGUAUGGAAGGGCCAUCGCUCAACGGAUAAAAGGUACUCUGGGGAUAACAGGCUGAUACCGCCCAAGAGUUCAUAUCGACGGCGGUGUUUGGCACCUCGAUGUCGGCUCAUCUCAUCCUGGGGCUGAAGCAGGUCCCAAGGGUAUGGCUGUUCGCCAUUUAAAGAGGUACGCGAGCUGGGUUUAGAACGUCGUGAGACAGUUCGGUCCCUAUCUACCGUGGGCGUUGGAAAUUUGAGAGGAUCUGCUCCUAGUACGAGAGGACCAGAGUGGACGAACCUCUGGUGUUCCGGUUGUUUCGCCAGAAGCACUGCCGGGUAGCUAUGUUCGGAUGGGAUAACCGCUGAAAGCAUCUAAGCGGGAAGCCCACCUCAAGAUUAGAUUUCCCUAAAGAGCCGUUGUAGACUACGACGUUGAUAGGUUGGGUGUGGAAGCAUGGCGACAUGUGUAGCUAACCAAUACUAAUUGCUCGUUUGGCUUGACCAUACAACACCCAAG
RNAcentral lists this ribosomal RNA (2961 nucleotides) under Moraxella bovis. RNAcentral describes it as "23S ribosomal RNA". It matches the Rfam family "Bacterial large subunit ribosomal RNA". Lineage: Bacteria; Pseudomonadati; Pseudomonadota; Gammaproteobacteria; Moraxellales; Moraxellaceae. The record is from RNAcentral.